RNAcentral lists this long non-coding RNA (296 nucleotides) under Mytilus galloprovincialis (Mediterranean mussel). The record is from RNAcentral. Lineage: Eukaryota; Metazoa; Mollusca; Bivalvia; Mytilida; Mytilidae.
GUUCACGACGUACCUACGAUAGACAUUUAAACUGUGGGGUCACCAAAGGUUUCUUAACGCCUUUCAUUAUAAAAUAAUUCGAAAAAUUAAUCAGGAAUAACCUUUAUGUUUUGAUUUAUAUAAUUGGUACAAAUCAAAGCAUCGUGUUAUUUCUGAUUAAUUUUUCAAAUUACUUUAUUAAGGUGUUGAGAACCUUUGGUGACCCAAUAGUUUGGGUGUCUUUAAAAAGUACAUAGUGAGCAGUGGUCGUUACAUACAAACGUUCACCUAAAUUGUCCCAUCCAAUGGAUGAAUUU